AACGGACGCUGGCGGCAGGCCUAACACAUGCAAGUCGAGCGAGGACUUCGGUUCUAGCGGCGGACGGGUGAGUAACGCGUGGGAAUGUGCCCUUCUCUACGGAAUAGCCCUGGGAAACUGGGAGUAAUACCGUAUACGCCCUUUUGGGGAAAGAUUUAUCGGAGAAGGAUCAGCCCGCGUUGGAUUAGGUAGUUGGUGGGGUAAUGGCCUACCAAGCCGACGAUCCAUAGCUGGUUUGAGAGGAUGAUCAGCCACACUGGGACUGAGACACGGCCCAGACUCCUACGGGAGGCAGCAGUGGGGAAUCUUAGACAAUGGGGGCAACCCUGAUCUAGCCAUGCCGCGUGAGUGAUGAAGGCCUUAGGGUUGUAAAGCUCUUUCAGCUGGGAAGAUAAUGACGGUACCAGCAGAAGAAGCCCCGGCUAACUCCGUG
Molecule: ribosomal RNA, 433 nt
Filed under: uncultured bacterium
Lineage: Bacteria
Description: partial 16S ribosomal RNA
Rfam family: Bacterial small subunit ribosomal RNA
Source: RNAcentral